GGAGGAAAAGAAACUAACAAGGAUUCCCCUAGUAACGGCGAGUGAACCGGGAAGAGCUCAAAUUUGAAAUCUGGCGUCCUCAGGGCGUCCGAGUUGUAAUCUAUAGAGGCGUUUUCCGUGCCGGACCGUGUCCAAGUUCCUUGGAACAGGAUAUCAAAGAGGGUGACAAUCCCGUACUUGACACGACGACCGGUGCUCUGUGAUACGUCUUCUACGAGUCGAGUUGUUUGGGAAUGCAGCUCAAAAUGGGUGGUGAGUUCCAUCUAAAGCUAAAUAUUGGCGAGAGACCGAUAGCGAACAAGUACCGUGAGGGAAAGAUGAAAAGCACUUUGGAAAGAGAGUUAAACAGUACGUGAAAUUGUUGAAAGGGAAACGAUUGAAGUCAGUCGUGACCGAGAGGCUCAGCCGGUUCUGCCGGUGUAUUCCCCUCGGUCGGGUCAACAUCAGUUUUGUCCGGUGGAUAAGGGCAGUAGGAAGGUGGCACCCUCGGGUGUGUUAUAGCCUGCCGUCGCAUACAUCGGGUGAGACUGAGGAACGCAGCUCGCCUUUAUGGCCGGGGUUCGCCCACGUCCGAGCUUAGGAUGUU
Molecule: ribosomal RNA, 586 nt
Filed under: Papiliotrema laurentii
Lineage: Eukaryota; Fungi; Basidiomycota; Tremellomycetes; Tremellales; Rhynchogastremaceae
Description: eukaryotic LSU rRNA
Rfam family: Eukaryotic large subunit ribosomal RNA
Source: RNAcentral